Long non-coding RNA from Passer montanus (Eurasian tree sparrow), 354 nucleotides. RefSeq lists it as uncharacterized. Lineage: Eukaryota; Metazoa; Chordata; Aves; Passeriformes; Passeridae. The record is from RefSeq and is a predicted model, not a curated record. The transcript is spliced from 4 exons.
UCUGGAGUGGAAUGGUGUUCCUGUGUGUGGAUUGAAGCUUUCUGACAUUGUAUGGUGAUGCUCUGUGCAUUGUGACCCUCUUCACUGCAGUGUGAGUUGUGACAGUGCUUCACCUCCCAGGAGAGCACUGAGGAAAAGUGCUUCUCACUUUCUUGGCACCUGGAGGAGCUGAUUCCAAGCCCAAGGAAGCUGUUGAUGAAGCAGUGGAAUAGAAAGCAUUCUAGUAACUCUUUCCUGGCUCAUGGUGGCUUUGAAUUGAAGUAAAUAAUUCCCCAUUUAACAAUCUCAAAGAAAACACCUGUGAAAGGAAGAAAUAAUGAAGGUCUGUCUGUAAUUGCUUUCUGGAUAUGAGCU